UAUGAUGGCGAAUAGGAGGACUGUAGCUAAUGGCUCAUCUGCACCGUGGAGAGGAGACCGUCGGCUACGCCUGCCUGACGGCAGGAGACUGCCUCUGCUGACACUUUGGCGUCUCCUCUGAUCCAUACAGCAGUGGAGGGAUGGAGAAACUGAGGCUUUGAGUGACUCAAAGAGCAAUGGAGUGACAGUGGUGGGUGUGACUCCAGGAUGUGCACACCGGCCCGCACCCCAAGCACACAGCCACCCCUAACGGACUGAUGGAGCAGAAGAACUAGAGAGGAGUUAGGGAGAACAGAAUUCAGCCCGGGGUUCUAGGAAGACACUGCCUCCCAGCACUCUCAGCCUCAGUGUCACCGUCUGUAAGCUGGGUAUGAUCUCCACCUAGUGGCGUAUGAUGAAGAGUAUGCAGAAUGCGGCAGACACCAGGCAGCGCCCAACAGGGUCAACCCCCUUCCCCACCACCUCCGCCAACAACUCUUCGAACACCUACCAGGUACCACACUCUGCGAGAAACCAAAGGCAAGAGAAAGAGAGUCAUCACCUGAUCCAACUAACAAAAAAGAUGAAAGCACAUAAAACAGCACAGUAGCAGCCCGGCAAGCACUUUCUAUGUCUGCCUUGUCUUUGAGACAAGUCUUAUUGUCAUCAUCAUUUUACAGAUGAGGAAACUGAGUCUCGGGGAUGGGAAGGAACUUGCCCACAGUCACCCAGUAAGUGGCAGAGGGGCGAUUUGAACCCGGGUCUGACUGAUAGCAGCAGAGAGAAGGGAGGGGUGGUGAGGGCUGCCAGGGGGCUGGGUCCCUCUGGAGUUGGGAAGGGGCCUGGGUGGAGAGGGGGAAGGGGUCUGGACAGUGGUGGAGCCAGACACCUCCCGUCUCCCGGCAAGGGCACCUCUGCUGAACCCCAAGGGCCUCCCUGUCUGCCAGAACCCCCAACCCCACUGGAGACCACUCCAGUCCAAGGCUACAGCCGAUGGCUGUGGGGGGAUUACCCUCAUCUCUCCAAGUCGGGGGGGGGGGGUCAAGGAAGCCCAGUGGUCGCAUGUGCAUCCCUGAGUCCCAGGCUGUUUCCUCCCUUCUGGAAAUCAGGAUGAGAUGGGGAAGAAAUGGGAGAGGGAGAACGAAGCUCAGCAAAGACAGGAACCCGUUUUACCCCAAAGGACCAUGACAAGAAGGGAUAUGACACAGCCUCGGCUCCUUAGUGCGUGGACAAAGCCGUGGGCCUCCCGGGGAUGUUGGCCAGCCCGUCAGAAGGCCGCCCUUGGCCCUGCACUCCCAUCUCUUCACAGCUGCGAUAUGCAGAGGGUUCUCAAGGGCAGGGCUGCAGUUUUGCAAACGGAUCUUCAGAAAAUUGUGCCUCCCGUCCGCCCGCAGCAGCCACGUCAGCAAACCACUGCGGAAGAGAAGUCUGCUGCCAACAGAGCUGGGAAGCGGCCCAGGAACCACACGCGACUCGGGGUGCUCUGUUUUAAAUUAGCCGGCCGCUGCUCCCUCCCACUGGUGACAAUAACCAGAUUUGGGGGUGAGCGGGCAUGCCCCAGUUCAUGAACAUUUGAUGGACAAUCCCCAAAGCGCGAGGCUGGGACUAUCCACGUCCACACAGAGCCUCCAGCUCAGACAGCUCAGUGACCCUGAGAGAGGACCGGGCGAGGUGACGUCUGUGACCUGCCCAGCUGGGACAUGCUCUAAUUCCAUAUUCUCCUGGCCUCCUCAAAAAGUCUCCACCAGGUCUGGGAGACCUGGCCCCUGAGUGGUCCCCGCACCGUCUGAAAAAGGAAUGUGAGGACUUUGUGAUGAUACUUCCAGACCUCACAAUUUAGUUUCAAGAAAAGACUGGUAGACAGUUGUCAUUUGGGGGCAGCCCUUUUCUUACCGGGGGAGGUGCUCCCACUGUUUGAAUCUUGGAGGAUGGUAGGUCCCUGCCUCCCAGACCAGAGGCCGGGGGGAGGGCAUGGGCCUUGGCUCAGACAACAGGAUAACCCUGCCCAGGACUCCCAGUGCUGAGCAAGAGAUGAGAACACGCAGGAACCAGUCAGUGUUCACACUGUGGCAGCAGCCGCUGGGGGUCGAGGCAGAAGCUGAAGGCCAUUAGCAGCGACGUCCAGCAGUGGCCAUGUCCAUGGUGGUUUCCAAGCCAGCCCAUCCCGUGCCUUUGCCCGUAGUCCUGCCACCAAGCCACCCACGGCCCCAGUCCACUUUCCAAGCCCACAACUUCAGGUUCUCUGUAGAUUCUCAAGCCAGGCAAUAAUCUCUCAAUAGAUUCUUUUCUUGCUUAAAGCUAGCUACAGUUGACUUCUGUGGCUCGCUCCCCCAAAACACUGACAGAAAGUAAGCCAAACUAUUCUUUUUUCAUUCAAGAGUUAAAUAAUAUCAAAGAAUAAUUUGGGGGAUGGAGGUAAAAGUAUGACUCUCAUCAAAUUAUAAAGGUUCUAUUAACUCAUUCAUUAAUGAGGAAAACAACUGAGCUGUUCCAAGUGGUUCAAAGGGGAAUUCCAAGAAUCACACAGGUAGAGGUAAUCAGAAUGUUGGAAUCACCUUACAUAUAGGUGCAGAAGAAGUCUAUCCACAGGGCAAUAAUCAGUUGGAUUCCACAGGACCAGAUUAAUGUACAUUUCUCUAAACACCGGUCAUGGGCAUUAUUGCUGGUUUUCAGCGACUUACAAAGUUGUAAAAUAGCUCAAAGGCAGUGACAGGCAGAGAGAGCCUGGAAGGGGGCCCAGACAGGACACCAGUAAUCUUUUUAUUUCUCUCAUCCAUUUGAGAGUCUUUCACUAACUUGUCCUUACAACAAUACAGGAGAUGACCAAAUGAGUGGGAGACACACUCAGAAGAUCCUAACCACUGCAGGCUGGAAUCGUGUGGGAAGUUCUUAGAGGAACUUGAGCUGGGUUUUAAGGGCUAAGAGUUGGAAAGGAGGGUUUUCUGGAAAGUGUGAGCAGAAGUUUGGGGGCAGUAAGGAAGCUGGCAUGACCCAUUGGCAGAUUAGACCGGUCUGCCCAGAAAAGCUGGCUUGUGAAGGAAACCGGCAAUAACAAGGUUGGAAAUAUACUUUGGGACAUCCUCGUGGCUUAUUAUUAACAGUCUUGGGGAAAGGGAUAUAAAUUGACAAAAUAAAAAUAGUGUAGAAUAGUCAUCUGAAAGGGACGCUUGGCAGUGCCCCGUCCCUUAGUCUGCUCAUAGUAGACACUAUGAGGACACUUUCCUACUCUUUUUCAGCAGUGUCCCCCUCCUUGCUGAGGAUGGAGCAGCAGGCAGUCAGCUCUCACACAGAUGAGCCCACCCCUUGGUGGGAGGAGGAAGGGAUAGGAUUUAAACUCAGAAAGACCCAACUACAAUCAGGGGAUGCAGACUCCGGAGUGGUAAGAACCGAUAAACAUGUAGAAUUAGUGUCUGGGUUGUUACCAUGGCAACCCAGAAUCCGCUGCACACUACUUUUGGGGGACCCGAGGGGCAGAGCCUCUAAGACACAGUCAGUCUGCGGGGAAGUGGGGAACAGGCUGGCAGAGGAGUGACCACAGGCCCAGGUGCCUGGCAACCUCUGGUCACCGAGGCUGCACAGCUCCUCCCACUGCCCAGGUCUCUACAGGGAAACUUUCUCCCUUAAAUUCACUUGAAUGGCUCUCUGCUCCUUGCCCCCAAACAGGAUCCAAGGAGCAUGAAGAACCCUGAGUCAUUUGGUCCCCAACACCCACCCUCCCUGCAUCUGGGCAAUGUUUGCAGAACUGUUGAAUAAAGAUUG
Molecule: long non-coding RNA, 3738 nt
Organism: Camelus dromedarius (Arabian camel)
Lineage: Eukaryota; Metazoa; Chordata; Mammalia; Artiodactyla; Camelidae
Exons: 3
Source: RefSeq, a predicted model, not a curated record